This 461-nucleotide ribosomal RNA is filed under the name uncultured bacterium. Its description in RNAcentral is "partial 16S ribosomal RNA". It matches the Rfam family "Bacterial small subunit ribosomal RNA", at positions 338 to 795 of the family's 1533-position model. The record is from RNAcentral.
CCUACGUGCGGCAGCAGUGAGGAAUAUUGGUCAAUGGGCGGAAGCCUGAACCAGCCAAGUCGCGUGAGGGAUUAAGGCCCUGCGGGUCGUAAACCUCUUUUGCCGGGGAGCAGAGGUCCGGACGUGUCCGGGCCGGGAGAGUACCCGGAGAAAAAGCAUCGGCUAACUCCGUGCCAGCAGCCGCGGUAAUACGGAGGAUGCGAGCGUUAUCCGGAUUUAUUGGGUUUAAAGGGUGCGCAGGCGGAGGUGCAAGUCAGCGGUCAAAUUGCGGGGCUCAACCAUGAGAGUGCGGCGCGAACUGGAGACCUUGAGUGCGCGGAAGGCAGGCGGAAUUCGUGGUGUAGCGGUGAAAUGCUUAGAUAUCACGAAGAACCCCGAUUGCGAAGGCAGCCUGCCGCAGCGUUACUGACGCUGAAGCUCGAAAGCGCGGGUAUCGAACAGGAUUAGAUACCCCUGUAGUC